CCAUGCAAGUCGAACGAUGAAGCGGUGCUUGCACCGUGGAUUAGUGGCGAACGGGUGAGUAACACGUGAGCAACCUGCCCUGGACUCUGGGAUAAGCGCUGGAAACGGUGUCUAAUACUGGAUAUGAGCUCUCAUCGCAUGGUGGGGGUUGGAAAGAUUUUUUGGUCUGGGAUGGGCUCGCGGCCUAUCAGCUUGUUGGUGAGGUAAUGGCUUACCAAGGCGUCGACGGGUAGCCGGCCUGAGAGGGUGACCGGCCACACUGGGACUGAGACACGGCCCAGACUCCUACGGGAGGCAGCAGUGGGGAAUAUUGCACAAUGGGCGGAAGCCUGAUGCAGCAACGCCGCGUGAGGGAUGACGGCCUUCGGGUUGUAAACCUCUUUUAGCAGGGAAGAAGCGUGAGUGACGGUACCUGCAGAAAAAGCGCCGGCUAACUACGUGCCAGCAGCCGCGGUAAUACGUAGGGCGCAAGCGUUAUCCGGAAUUAUUGGGCGUAAAGAGCUCGUAGGCGGUUUGUCGCGUCUGCUGUGAAAUCCCGAGGCUCAACCUCGGGUCUGCAGUGGGUACGGGCAGACUAGAGUGCGGUAGGGGAGAUUGGAAUUCCUGGUGUAGCGGUGGAAUGCGCAGAUAUCAGGAGGAACACCGAUGGCGAAGGCAGAUCUCUGGGCCGUAACUGACGCUGAGGAGCGAAAGGGUGGGGAGCAAACAGGCUUAGAUACCCUGGUAGUCCACCCCGUAAACGUUGGGAACUAGUUGUGGGGACCAUUCCACGGUUUCCGUGACGCAGCUAACGCAUUAAGUUCCCCGCCUGGGGAGUACGGCCGCAAGGCUAAAACUCAAAGGAAUUGACGGGGACCCGCACAAGCGGCGGAGCAUGCGGAUUAAUUCGAUGCAACGCGAAGAACCUUACCAAGGCUUGACAUACACCAGAACACCGUAGAAAUACGGGACUCUUUGGACACUGGUGAACAGGUGGUGCAUGGUUGUCGUCAGCUCGUGUCGUGAGAUGUUGGGUUAAGUCCCGCAACGAGCGCAACCCUCGUUCUAUGUUGCCAGCACGUUAUGGUGGGAACUCAUGGGAUACUGCCGGGGUCAACUCGGAGGAAGGUGGGGAUGACGUCAAAUCAUCAUGCCCCUUAUGUCUUGGGCUUCACGCAUGCUACAAUGGCCGGUACAAAGGGCUGCAAUACCGUGAGGUGGAGCGAAUCCCAAAAAGCCGGUCCCAGUUCGGAUUGAGGUCUGCAACUCGACCUCAUGAAGUCGGAGUCGCUAGUAAUCGCAGAUCAGCAACGCUGCGGUGAAUACGUUCCCGGGUCUUGUACACACCGCCCGUCAAGUCAUGAAAGUCGGUAACACCUGAAGCCGGUGGCCCAACCCUUGUGGAGGGAGCCGUCGAA
Molecule: ribosomal RNA, 1397 nt
Filed under: unidentified
Description: bacterial SSU rRNA
Rfam family: Bacterial small subunit ribosomal RNA
Source: RNAcentral